RNAcentral lists this transfer RNA (68 nucleotides) under Eochionelasmus coreana. RNAcentral describes it as "tRNA-Leu". It matches the Rfam family "tRNA". Rfam says of the family: Transfer RNA (tRNA) molecules are approximately 80 nucleotides in length. The record is from RNAcentral. Lineage: Eukaryota; Metazoa; Arthropoda; Thecostraca; Balanomorpha; Pachylasmatidae.
UUUGAGGUGGCAGAUUAGUGCGAUAGGUUUAAGCCCUAUCCAUGAAGGUUUAAGCCCUUUUCUCAAAA